This 420-nucleotide ribosomal RNA is filed under the name uncultured eukaryote. RNAcentral's name for it is "eukaryotic LSU rRNA". It matches the Rfam family "Eukaryotic large subunit ribosomal RNA", at positions 9 to 416 of the family's 3401-position model. The record is from RNAcentral.
AAUCAAGCGAGAUUACCGGCUGAACUUAAGCAUAUCAAUAAGCCGAGGAAAAGAAACUAACAAGGAUACCCUUAGUAACGGCGAGUGAAGCGGGUAAAGCUCAAAUCUUAAAAUCUAUGUCUCAAAUGGGGCAUCGAAUUGUAGUUUUGGAUCAUUUUUCCCUCUUCUAUUUAAUAGAUUAAAAUCUCUUGGAAUAGAGUGUCAUAGAAGGUGAGAACCCUGUGAAUAGUCUAGUAAGUAGGAGGAAUUGUGUUAGGUGAUCUUAGAGUCGGGUUGUUUGAGAAUGCAGCCUAAAAUGGGUGGUAAAUCUCAUCUAAAGCUAAAUAUUGGUAAGAGACCGAUAGCAAACAAGUACCGUGAGGGAAAGAUGAAAAAGAACUUUGAAAAGAGAGUUAAAAGUACUUGAAAUUGUUAACAGGG